This is a long non-coding RNA of Gordionus sp. m RMFG-2023, 126 nucleotides long. RefSeq lists it as uncharacterized. The transcript is spliced from 6 exons. NCBI's taxonomy places the organism in Eukaryota, Metazoa, Nematomorpha, Gordioida, Chordodea, Parachordodidae. The record is from RefSeq and is a predicted model, not a curated record.
CCGCUAACAUAACUACCCGGUUAGCUAACAUAACUACGCCGACCGCUAAUUUUACUAACCCAAUAGCUAACAUAACUACGCCGAUCGCUAACAUAACUACGCCGACCGCUAAUUUUACUAACCUGA